GCCGGUGUGGCGGAAUGGUAGACGCAGCGGAUUCAAAAUCCGCCGGCAGCGAUGUCGUGGAGGUUCGAGUCCUCUCACCGGUACCA
RNAcentral lists this transfer RNA (86 nucleotides) under Thermomonas sp. RNAcentral describes it as "tRNA-Leu". It matches the Rfam family "tRNA". From Rfam's summary of the family: Transfer RNA (tRNA) molecules are approximately 80 nucleotides in length. Their secondary structure includes four short double-helical elements and three loops (D, anti-codon, and T loops). The record is from RNAcentral. Lineage: Bacteria; Pseudomonadati; Pseudomonadota; Gammaproteobacteria; Lysobacterales; Lysobacteraceae. RNAcentral also lists the same sequence under 2 other names.